CCUCCCAUCUCUCCUGACUCCUGCAGCUCUCCUGGCGUCUCCCCCAAAGAGCAGCUCUCUUCCCUGCUUGACUUCUGGACAUGUCAGGAGCUAAGGGAAUUAAGAGGAAGGCCAUGUCGCAGGAUAUGGCUUUGCGUGGGUGGGCUAAAGUGGCUUUCUGGCUUGACCUCAGUUAGGCCAUCCUGUGCUUGCUGCACUCGCCUGGGGCAGGUGUAUACGGAUGUGGCGCUGGGGCAGGUAGGGUGGCCAGGGGGGCAGGUGUACCUUGAUGCAUGGAGUCAACCUCAGGUGUGACCUCCAGCCCACAGCAGCAGCGGCGGAGAACUCACGUUCUUCUCAGAGAAAGGAAAGAGGGGCAGAGCUGAAUCAAGCCUGCCCAGUUGUGCUUCCGAGAAGCACCUGUGCCCAGGCAGUGAGUGAAACUCCUAGAAGGAAGCAUCAGGGGAGGGGGGCAGCAUUCUCUGUCUUAGGAGAACAGACUCGUAAAGUGUGAGAGGUAGUUGCCUUGCCGUCUUGCUCAGAUGUCUUCAAGUCCUCACGUUUGCAUCCCCAACUUUAUUCUGCAGAAGAAAGCAGCCAAUGGCCCUGGGCUUCUUUUGCAGAUAUCUCAACCCCAUCUUUAAUGGCCAGUUCAUCACACUAAGGGGAAGGAGAUGUUUGAUUUUGUCUGAAUGCAAAAAGUUCAGUAGAUCCUAGAGGAAGCCUCCAGAGACUUGUUACAGAGCAAAGAAGAGGUUCUAAGGUGGAUGGGAAUCUUCACCCCCACAGAGAAGGAUGUGUGUCCAUGAGGAAAGGUGCCUUAAAAAUACUGGCCGAAUCAAAGCAAACAAGUGAACUUGAAAAUGGACCACAAAGAAAGAUGAACACAUUGCCCUGGAUGAACACAUCCUUCGGACCUGCUCACUCCACUGGGAUGGUUUGAAGGCAGAUUUGGCCUCCCUACUGGCCUGUGGGCUCUUGGAAGGGAGGGCAUUUGUCUUGUUCGCAGGUGAGCAAUUUGGAGCCUUGCUUGGGAUCAGGCGUGGAUGAACUUCCCAGUAACUCUGAGGCCAAAGGGAAAUUUCGUGUUUCAGCACCAGAUCAAGUUCAGUCUGCAACCUGAGAAGACAUGCAGGCGUCAUCCUCUCUCCCUGUGUUUUGGUGAAACAUGCUAAUAAUAUUGCUCCUAUGUUUGGACAAUGUCCCAAGUCACCAGUACGGCAAAGACACUGCCAUCUGAGAAUAGACCAAAGGGAUAAUGGAAGUUAAGAGCGAACAGGUGAUGUCAAGAACAGAAUUGCUGAACAGAACAGAGUGAAACCAUUAAACACCGUUAGGAUCCCAAGCCAGGCAGUCACCCUGACACGUGGACGAGAUCCCUGAUGUGCUGCCUGCAGCCAGCCAUCUGUGCCCUCGGUCAGGCUCACUCCCUCAAGCCCGGAACCUGAAGGAAUGACAUACAGAGACACCUGGGAUGUCCUGAAAAGAUCAUUUAGUUUGCAGUCCGAGCACUGCAGAACCAAACUUUCACCCUCCUAGUCAUGCAAACUUGAACCCUUGCCAAACCAAAUUUCCAAUGAGAGGCAUUCGAGCCCUCAGACCAGCCCUGGCAACCUGGAUGACUCAUAGCCCAUUCACUGGGGAGCAGGCAAUUCAUGAGCUACCCUUGCUGUGCUCAUUGCAUCUCAGGUUUGGGCACAGGGACCUGCUGUCACCGCCCUGGGCAAGGAGAACACCUUUUCAUGCUUUUCUCUCCCAUCACAGUGUCCUCUGCCAGGAGGGUCUGGUCCUGCAUCUGAGCUGCUUUCCCAGGCGUUGCAGCUGUCACCUUGUGUCCUUACUUCCUUGACACGCUUCCGCUCGGCUUCCUGGAGACCCCGCAGCUGCUGGAUGGAAGCAGGAGGCACAGGAAAUGACUGAGAAUGUCUCUCACCCAAGUCCCAGUGGGACACCUCGUGGAAAACUUUUGUGGGUAUCAAACAGCUUCCUUUUUUGAAGGAGAAAGCCGCCUGCCCCGUGCCCUCCAGUGCCUGCCAAGGCCAGACUCCUGUCCAUCCACGUCCCAGGUAAGAGAUCUGAAGGAGGUGUCAUUGCCAGCAGGGACAAGUGACACCAGUGCAUUUCUGUAGCUGGCAAAGUACAGGGGGACAAAGCCAAAGAGUUUAAUUGGAAUGGUCCUUAAUUAAAAAAAAAAAAUUAAAACGGAACAUAACACAACUGUCAUGUUUGCAAAAACUGGGUCUGAGGUCCCCGUGGGAAUAAUGAACAGAGGCAGGAAGGCAGGGAGGGGAGGCUGGGACAGCGUGUGGCGGCCUCACCAUUGCAGGUCUCCUCGGUCAUUUAUAAAAGGCAAGUGCUGCCUUGCCCCCCGGGGGGGCCUAAGCACCAAGCUUCAGUUGUGAUUUAUGGGAAAGAGACUGGCUAUAAAUCAAACCCCUUUGUUUUGAGGAGUAGUUUCAGUGCAAGCAGAUGCAUUUACAUGCAAAAGAGAAUGAGGGCAAAAUCACACUCUCUGGUAAUCUACGAAUAUCAAACUUAAACAAAAUUUCCCCUCUUUGACAAAGUGCCCUGCAUGGAGAACUUUGGGGCCAAGGAUCAGGUCACAGGGGGAUGGCUUGAUGAGCCCCAGGUAUGGGGCUUCAGCACUGGAAAACAGGGCAUCUGAUCUUUCUUUCUGGGGCUGUCCUGACACCCAGGGCUCUUAGAGCAUCCUCGUUAGGGACAGACCUUGGGCUGUCAUUACUGUCACCACCAUUGUGGCCCAUUGUCAUUGCUGCUCCGGGCACUCACUGCGUGUGGAAGCAGUGAAGGUCAAGGCUGUAGGCUGAUUCUCAUCAGCCCCAUGUAUUGGGGAUGAGAAAGAGAAUCUUCCUCAAGAAGACACAACUGGCUCUUGGCGUUUCGAGUAUACUUUUGCUCUAGUGCGUGGGGACCUUUGAUGCUGUCUCCUGUCUUCAUGGUUCAUAAGUAUCUCACACCUCGUUUCCGGCCAGAGGUGCUCCCUGAGGGCAGGGCUCAGGCUUUGAGUCUCUUGCAUUUCUCAAAAAUGCCUCGUGUUAGGAAAUCAGAGAUGCUGGGGGUGCUCCUAUUGGCUUGAGUCAAGUAUCUAUGGAAACGGGGGGAGAGCCAUCGCAUGACUCAUCCAAACCCUGGGGUUGUCAAAGCCCCAUUUCAGCUCCGAAAUCAAGCUUUCUUUUCUCCUCAAGCCUUUUAUAAAUAUCACUAGAGAAAAAAAAGGACAACUAUGAUAUCACCUCUUUUUGAUUCUCCUGUCCUCCUGCUGGUAUUGAGAUGAUCAAGAGCACAGAAAAGUGGCCAAAAACAGGCAGAAGGAAAGAGACGCAAAGGACUAGGGGACCCACAGAGGAGACGCUGGCGCUGCCCCGACUGGCGCCUUCCAAGCACCUGCCCUGUUUCUUCCGAAACUGUCACUAC
Molecule: non-coding RNA, 3414 nt
Organism: Sus scrofa (pig)
Lineage: Eukaryota; Metazoa; Chordata; Mammalia; Artiodactyla; Suidae
Source: RefSeq, a predicted model, not a curated record